RNA transcript from Macadamia integrifolia, 2840 nucleotides. It is a transcript of the gene named aminopeptidase P1, with no coding region annotated. Lineage: Eukaryota; Viridiplantae; Streptophyta; Magnoliopsida; Proteales; Proteaceae. The transcript is spliced from 18 exons. The record is from RefSeq and is a predicted model, not a curated record.
UGAUUCCACAGAGGUUUACAAAAGAAGAGAUUAGUUAAGAUUGGUCGCCUUAUCAUAUGGGAUUCGAAUGCCGCCAUUAUAGUAAUGUAGGCACUAGAUGAAGAAUUCAGAAACUGGAUUCAACGGCCAUUUCGGUUCCGGGGGUGUUUUGGUCAAAUGGCUCGGCAGCUUUUUUGGUUUUUUGAUGAAAACCUUCCGCUUUCAUAGAACCGAAGGCUUCUCCGCUGUUAUUGACGUUGGCAGAAAAAAAAAAAAAAAAAACUCCCACAGAGGUAGAGAGAUAGAGAGAUAGAGAGAUAGAGAGAUAGAGCAAUGGAGGAUCCUCUCGAUGCCCUGAGGUCUUUAAUGGCUUCCCAUUCUCCUCCUCUUGAUGCCUUGAUCGUUCCAUCCGAAGAUUAUCAUCAGAGCGAAGACGUGUCUGAGCGGGACAAAAGGCGUGAAUUUGUUUCUGGAUUCUCCGGAAGUGCUGGUUUGGCACUUAUAACAAUGAAGGAGGCACGGCUGUGGACAGAUGGGCGGUACUUCUUGCAAGCAACACAAGAACUAAGUGACCGGUGGAAGCUUAUGCGUAUUGGAGAAGAUCCAGCUUUGGAGGCUUGGAUAGCUGAUAAUCUGCCAAGUGAUGCUGCUAUUGGGGUCGAUCCUUGGUGUGUAUCAAUAGAUACUGCACAAAUAUGGGAGCAUGCUCUCGCAAAGAAACAGAAAAAACUAGUGCAAACAUGCACAAACAUAGUAGAUGAAGUUUGGAAGAACAGGCCUCCACCAGAAAUCAAACCUGUUUUUAUACAUCCGCUGGAAUUUGCGGGAUGUGCUGUGGCAGGGAAGUUAACGGAUCUCAGAGAAAAGCUCGCAAAGGAGAAAGCUCGUGGUAUCAUUAUUACAGCGCUUGAUGAGGUAGCUUGGUUGUAUAACAUUCGUGGAAAUGACAUGUCAUACAAUCCAGUUGUUCAUGCAUUUGCUAUUGUAACAUCAAGCUCAGCCUUCUUUUAUGUGGACAAAAAGAAGGUGUCUGCAGAGGUAUACUCCUAUAUGGAGGAGAAUGGAAUUGAAGUCAGGGAUUAUGACGCAGUGAGCUCAGAUGUUGCAUUACUUGCAACGGGUCAGCUGAACUCCUCAGAAACCAAGGGAACUCCAACUGAAGUUCCAAAUAAUGCUGAACUCAGUUCUACUGAAACAGAAAAUGGUGAGAUUGAAGCAGAAGAAAUCAAUCAUAACGUCAUAUGGCUUGACCCUGGUUCAUGCUGCCAUGCACUAUAUUAUAAACUGAAUUCAGAUGAGGUUCUGCUGCAGCAGUCUCCCUUGGCACUUGCAAAAGCCAUCAAGAACCCUGUUGAGUUGGAGGGCUUAAGAAGGGCACAUAUCCGGGAUGGUGCAGCUGUUGUGCAAUAUCUUGUCUGGCUGGAUAAACAGAUGCAAGGGAUUUAUGGGGCUUCCGGUUACUUCUUGGAACCUGAGGGGAAAACUAAGAGAAAGCAUUCGGAAACAAUGAAACUAACGGAGGUUUCUGUGAGUGAUAAGUUAGAGGGUUUCCGUGCAACAAAAGAGUAUUUCAGAGGGUUAAGUUUUCCUACUAUAUCAUCAGCUGGGCCAAAUGCAGCAAUUAUUCAUUAUGCUCCUGAUGCAGAAAAAUGUGCGGAGCUUGAUGCAGAUCGUAUCUACUUAUUUGAUUCAGGAGCACAGUAUCAAGAUGGAACAACUGAUAUAACACGUACGGUUCACUUUGGCAAACCUUCAGCUCAUGAGAAGGCAUGCUAUACUGCGGUUCUUAAAGGCCACAUCACUUUGGAUACUGCCAGAUUUCCAAAUGGAACUAAUGGACAUGCUCUUGACAUUCUUGCUCGAGUUCCAUUGUGGAAGGAAGGUCUUGAUUAUCGACAUGGUACUGGACAUGGGAUUGGGUCUUACCUGAAUGUUCAUGAAGGACCCCAUUUGAUUAGUUUUAGACCACAAGCUCGAAAUGUGCCAUUACAAGCUUCAAUGACUGUAACAGAUGGUGAAAAAGCAGAACCUGGCUACUACGAGGAUGGGAAUUUCGGUAUAAGAUUGGAGAAUGUGCUUAUAGUCAAGGAGGCUGACACAAAAUUCAAUUUUGGAGACAAGGGUUACUUAGCCUUUGAGCACAUAACCUGGGCUCCAUACCAGAAAAAAUUAAUGGACCUGCAACUCUUAGCACCUGAAGAGACAGAGUGGGUGAACAGAUACCAUUCCAGAUGUAGAGAAGUUCUGGAGCCGUACUUGGAUGAAUCUGAGAUGGCAUGGCUGAAGAAAGCUACUGAACCUUUAAGUGUGUGAACAUAUGUGUUGGGAGCCUGCAGCAUCAUCUGCUGCUUCAACUAGGACUCUGCAAGAAAGAAGCAACCAAGGCCCAAGGGUAAGAGACCAAAGAGGGAAAACAAAAAGGACGGCAGAGAAAGAGAUGAGUCUCUUCCAUCUCUCGGAAGCUUUUCUUCUGUGGCUUCUUCCAAGUCCAAUAAUAGCGCCACAAUAAAAGUAUUUCUGCUGGGGGCAAAGAGAGGUUCUUAGAUACAGUUAAGCCAAAGCUGGAGAACAGAUAUGGUUGAUGAACCACAACACCAACCAGAACCAGAAGCUUUCAUUUUCACAAAAACCGAGUGGGAUUGGGACUAUUCUCUCUUCUCCAUGGUGUUCUUCAACUUCUCCAUCUCCUUCACACUUCCAAGUGAAGACCCAACAGCAAUGAUGUUGAGUAAUUAUUUGAGAAUACAAUUGAUCUACCUUCUCUCUUCUCCAGUAUUUCUUCCAUUACCUACCUUCUCUUUGAUUAAUGAUGUUGAGUAAUUAUUCGAGAACACAAUUGAUCCCUUUUAUAUUUCUGAAAA